GCUGGUGUAGCUCAAUUGGCAGAGCAGCUGAUUUGUAAUCAGCAGGUUGCGGGUUCAAGUCCCAUCGCCAGCU
Molecule: transfer RNA, 73 nt
Filed under: Faecalibacterium sp. CAG:74
Lineage: Bacteria; Bacillati; Bacillota; Clostridia; Eubacteriales; Oscillospiraceae
Also listed under: 2 other names
Rfam family: tRNA
About the family: Transfer RNA (tRNA) molecules are approximately 80 nucleotides in length.
Source: Rfam by way of RNAcentral